GACGAACGCUGGCGGCGUGCUUAACACAUGCAAGUCGAACGGAAAGGCCCUGCUUUUGUGGGGUGCUCGAGUGGCGAACGGGUGAGUAACACGUGAGUAACCUGCCCUUAACUUUGGGAUAACUUCAGGAAACUGGGGCUAAUACCGGAUAGGAGCUCCUGCUGCAUGGUGGGGGUUGGAAAGUUUCGGCGGUUGGGGAUGGACUCGCGGCUUAUCAGCUUGUUGGUGGGGUAGUGGCUUACCAAGGCUUUGACGGGUAGCCGGCCUGAGAGGGUGACCGGCCACAUUGGGACUGAGAUACGGCCCAGACUCCUACGGGAGGCAGCAGUGGGGAAUAUUGCACAAUGGGCGGAAGCCUGAUGCAGCAACGCCGCGUGCGGGAUGACGGCCUUCGGGUUGUAAACCGCUUUCGCCUGUGACGAAGCGUGAGUGACGGUAAUGGGUAAAGAAGCACCGGCUAACUACGUC
This 468-nucleotide ribosomal RNA is filed under the name uncultured bacterium. RNAcentral describes it as "partial 16S ribosomal RNA". It matches the Rfam family "Bacterial small subunit ribosomal RNA", at positions 28 to 507 of the family's 1533-position model. The record is from RNAcentral.